UACGUAGGGCGCAAGCGUUAUCCGGAAUUAUUGGGCGUAAAGAGCUCGUAGGCGGUUUGUCGCGUCUGCCGUGAAAGUCCGGGGCUCAACUCCGGAUCUGCGGUGGGUACGGGCAGACUAGAGUGAUGUAGGGGAGACUGGAAUUCCUGGUGUAGCGGUGAAAUGCGCAGAUAUCAGGAGGAACACCAGCGGCGAAGGCGGCGCUCUGGGCUGGAACUGACGCUGAGGAGCGAAAGCGUGGGGAGCGAACAGG
Molecule: ribosomal RNA, 253 nt
Filed under: uncultured bacterium
Lineage: Bacteria
Description: partial 16S ribosomal RNA
Rfam family: Bacterial small subunit ribosomal RNA
Source: RNAcentral